GAGAACUGUCAUACCAUGCUGAAAACACCGGUUCUCGUCCGAUCCCGAAGUUACGCAGCAUUGGGUCUGGUUAGUACUUGGAUGGGUGACUGUCUGGGAAUCUCAGAUGCAGUUUCUU
This 118-nucleotide ribosomal RNA is filed under the name Strigamia maritima. Lineage: Eukaryota; Metazoa; Arthropoda; Chilopoda; Geophilomorpha; Linotaeniidae. The record is from RNAcentral.